RNAcentral lists this ribosomal RNA (464 nucleotides) under uncultured bacterium. RNAcentral's name for it is "partial 16S ribosomal RNA". It matches the Rfam family "Bacterial small subunit ribosomal RNA", at positions 339 to 795 of the family's 1533-position model. The record is from RNAcentral.
CUACGGGUUGCAGCAGUGAGGAAUUUUGCGCAAUGGGGGAAACCCUGACGCAGCAACGCCGCGUGAGCGAAGAAGGCCUUCGGGUCGUAAAGCUCUGUCAAGUGGGAAAAAAAUUCUUUGAUCAAUAGUCAAAGGACUUGAUGGUACCACUGGAGGAAGCACCGGCUAACUCCGUGCCAGCAGCCGCGGUAAUACGGAGGGUGCAAGCGUUGGUCGGAAUUACUGGGCGUAAAGAGCGUGUAGGCGGUUUGGCAAGUCAGAUGUGAAAGCCCUGGGCUCAACCUGGGAAGUGCAUUUGAAACUGCUUGACUAGAGUAUGGGGGAGGAGAUUGGAAUUCCUGGUGUAGAGGUGAAAUUCGUAGAUAUCAGGAGGAACGCCCGUGGCGAAGGCGAUUCUCUGGACCAAUACUGACGCUGAGACGCGAAAGCGUGGGGAGCAAACAGGAUUAGAUACCCGGGUAGUC